RNAcentral lists this ribosomal RNA (480 nucleotides) under uncultured bacterium. Its description in RNAcentral is "partial 16S ribosomal RNA". It matches the Rfam family "Bacterial small subunit ribosomal RNA", at positions 28 to 507 of the family's 1533-position model. The record is from RNAcentral.
GAUGAACGCUGGCGGCGUGCUUAACACAUGCAAGUCGAACGGAACUACUCCAAUGAGAGUCUUCGGAAAGGAUUUGGUUUAGUUUAGUGGCGGACGGGUGAGUAACGCGUGGGUAACCUGCCCUAUACAGGGGGAUAACAGUUGGAAACGACUGUUAAUACCGCAUAAGCGCACAGGAGCGCAUGCUCCGGUGUGACAAACUCCGGUGGUAUAGGAUGGACCCGCGUCUGAUUAGCUGGUUGGCGGGGUAACGGCCCACCAAGGCGACGAUCAGUAGCCGGCCUGAGAGGGUGAACGGCCACAGUGGGACUGAGACACGGCCCAAACUCCUACGGGAGGCAGCAGUGGGGAAUAUUGCACAAUGGGGGAAACCCUGAUGCAGCGACGCCGCGUGAGCGAAGAAGUAUCUCGGUAUGUAAAGCUCUAUCAGCAGGGAAGAAAAUGACGGUACCUGACGAAGAAGCCCCGGCUAAGUACGUG